This is a non-coding RNA of Tricholoma furcatifolium, 83 nucleotides long. Lineage: Eukaryota; Fungi; Basidiomycota; Agaricomycetes; Agaricales; Tricholomataceae. The record is from the annotation of a GenBank genome assembly.
GCAUUAAUGGGGUAGUGGUAACCUGGGUCGUUGCCAUCCGAGUUUGACUCGACCCGCCGGGGGUUCGAUUCCCCCUUAAUGCA